Amazona aestiva (blue-fronted amazon) is the source of this 46-nucleotide regulatory RNA element. It matches the Rfam family "Histone 3' UTR stem-loop". Rfam says of the family: The mRNAs of metazoan histone genes lack a poly-A tail. 3' end processing occurs at a site between a highly conserved stem-loop (modelled by this family) and a purine rich region around 20 nts downstream (the histone downstream element, or HDE). Lineage: Eukaryota; Metazoa; Chordata; Aves; Psittaciformes; Psittacidae. The record is from Rfam.
CCAAAGGCUCUUUUAAGAGCCACUCCAUGCACAUUGAAAGGAGCUG